AAAUGCGAUAAGUAAUGUGAAUUGCAGAAUUCAGUGAAUCAUCGAAUCUUUGAACGCACCUUGCGCUCCUUGGUAUUCCUUGGAGCAUGCCUGUUUGAGUAUCAUGAAAUCUUCAAAGUAAAUCUUUUGUUAACUCAAUUGGUUUCUACUUUGGUAUUGGAGGUCUUUGCAGCUUCACACCUGCUCCUCUUUGUUCAUUAGCUGGAUCUCAGUGUUAUGCUUGGUUCCACUCGGCGUGAUAAGUUAUCUAUCGCUGAGGACACUGUAAAGGGUGGCCAAGGUAAAUGCAGAUGAACCGCUUCUAAUAGUCCAUUGACUUGGACAAUACUUUUAUGAUCUGAUCUCAAAUCAGGUAGGAAUACCCGCUGAACUUAAGC
This 377-nucleotide unclassified non-coding RNA is filed under the name plant metagenome. Its description in RNAcentral is "partial contains 5.8S ribosomal RNA, internal transcribed spacer 2, and large subunit ribosomal RNA". The stretch from base 1 to 104 matches the Rfam family "5.8S ribosomal RNA", at positions 51 to 154 of the family's 154-position model. The record is from RNAcentral.